This 468-nucleotide ribosomal RNA is filed under the name uncultured bacterium. RNAcentral's name for it is "partial 16S ribosomal RNA". It matches the Rfam family "Bacterial small subunit ribosomal RNA", at positions 28 to 507 of the family's 1533-position model. The record is from RNAcentral.
GACGAACGCUGGCGGCGUGCUUAACACAUGCAAGUCGAACGGAAAGGCCCUGCUUUUGUGGGGUGCUCGAGUGGCGAACGGGUGAGUAACACGUGAGUAACCUGCCCUUGACUUUGGGAUAACUUCAGGAAACUGGGGCUAAUGCCGGAUAGGAGCUCCUGCUGCAUGGUGGGGGUUGGAAAGUUUCGGCGGUUGGGGAUGGACUCGCGGCUUAUCAGCUUGUUGGUGGGGUAGUGGCUUACCAAGGCUUUGACGGGUAGCCGGCCUGAGGGGGUGACCGGCCACAUUGGGACUGAGGUACGGCCCAGACUCCUACGGGAGGCAGCAGUGGGGAAUAUUGCACAAUGGGCGGAAGCCUGAUGCAGCAACGCCGCGUGCGGGAUGACGGCCUUCGGGUUGUAAACCGCUUUCGCCUGUGACGAAGCGUGAGUGACGGUAAUGGGUAAAGAAGCACCGGCUAACUACGUG